CUCCUCUCAGAGUCGCAUCUGGAGAGUUUCCAGUAGUCUACCAGUCUCAGCUACAGGAAGGAGAGUAAGGCAGAGGCCUAUCCACUCCAUUCCUAGCUUGGGCAGUGGCUAGCGAGCGGAAGACAAUCUGCUACAAGU
Molecule: non-coding RNA, 138 nt
Organism: Ornithorhynchus anatinus (platypus)
Lineage: Eukaryota; Metazoa; Chordata; Mammalia; Monotremata; Ornithorhynchidae
Source: Rfam